RNAcentral lists this transfer RNA (62 nucleotides) under Echinolaelaps echidninus. RNAcentral's name for it is "tRNA-His". The record is from RNAcentral. Lineage: Eukaryota; Metazoa; Arthropoda; Arachnida; Mesostigmata; Laelapidae.
ACUUAAAUAGUUUAUUUAAAAUAGUAAAUUGUGAUUUUACAGAAAUUUUUUAAUUUUAAGUA